UACGUAGGGGGCAAGCGUUGUCCGGAAUCAUUGGGCAUAAAGCGCGUGUAGGCGGACUGUCACGUCUGCUGUGAAAAGCUAGGGCUUAACCCUGGCCUUGCAGUGGAUACGGGCAGACUAGAGGUAGGUAGGGGAGAAUGGAAUUCCCGGUGUAGCGGUGAAAUGCGCAGAUAUCGGGAGGAACACCGGUGGCGAAGGCGGUUCUCUGGGCCUUACCUGACGCUGAGGAGCGAAAUCGUGGGGAGCGAACAGG
Molecule: ribosomal RNA, 253 nt
Filed under: uncultured bacterium
Lineage: Bacteria
Description: partial 16S ribosomal RNA
Rfam family: Bacterial small subunit ribosomal RNA
Source: RNAcentral